AUUGAACGCUGGCGGCAGGCUUAACACAUGCAAGUCGAGCGGGGGAAGGUAGCUUGCUACCGGACCUAGCGGCGGACGGGUGAGUAAUGCUUAGGAAUCUGCCUAUUAGUGGGGGACAACAUCUCGAAAGGGAUGCUAAUACCGCAUACGUCCUACGGGAGAAAGCAGGGGAUCUUCGGACCUUGCGCUAAUAGAUGAGCCUAAGUCGGAUUAGCUAGUUGGUGGGGUAAAGGCCUACCAAGGCGACGAUCUGUGGCGGGUCUGAGAGGAUGGUCCGCCACACUGGGACCGAGACACGGACCAGACUCCUACGGGAGGCAGCAGUGGGGAAUAUUGGACAAUGGGGGGAGCCCUGAUCCAGCCAUGCCGCGUGUGUGAAGAAGGCCUUAUGGUUGUAAAGCACUUUAAGCGAGGAGGAGGCUACUUUAGUUAAUACCUAGAGAUAGUGGACGUUACUCGCAGAAUAAGCACCGGCUAACUCUGUGCCAGCCGCCGCGGUAA
This 501-nucleotide ribosomal RNA is filed under the name uncultured bacterium. RNAcentral's name for it is "partial 16S ribosomal RNA". It matches the Rfam family "Bacterial small subunit ribosomal RNA", at positions 30 to 523 of the family's 1533-position model. The record is from RNAcentral.